AUUACCGCGGCUGCUGGCACGUAGUUAGCCGGGGCUUCUUCUGAAGGUACCGUCACCCUCUGGGCUAUUAACCCGAGGAGCUUCGUCCCCCCUGAAAGAGGUUUACAACCCGAAAGCCUUCUUCCCUCACGCGGCGUCGCUGCAUCAGGCUUUCGCCCAUUGUGCAAGAUUCCCCACUGCUGCCUCCCGUAGG
This 193-nucleotide ribosomal RNA is filed under the name uncultured bacterium WkB19. RNAcentral describes it as "partial 16S ribosomal RNA". The record is from RNAcentral.